AAAGGAGCUUAAUUAAACUGUAGGCAAAAUUUCGCCAAUCCAACAAGGAAUAAAACCACAGGAGGCUCUGUGUGUAGCACACAGCUUGAGCACCUGUGCUCUCAGACCUGAAGUCCAGGCCAGAGCUUCUGAGUUUGUUUGCUAGCUUUUUUUGGCAGGCUUCACUGAAGUCCAUCUAGAGCAGGAAGAGAUCAAGGCCAAAUCCCACGGUGGAAGGACAGUUAUUCACAUGGAAUGAGACCCCCAAAAACUGGCACUUAGUCUGGUUCCGCCUGUCAUUUCACAUCAAAUGAUAUGUUCCAAUUCGAGCCCAACCAGCACCUCCAAUAAGCCACUUCGUUACAGGCAAUAUCUCCUGAAUAAACAGGUUUAGCAAAUAUACCUUGCACAAAAAUAGUUAUAAGCCAGAAGUUUGCCCCACAUCGUAGCCCAUCUAGAAAAAUGGCAAAUACCAUUUAAUUCCAUUGGCCAUUGCUUCACCUUUUCAAAACAACAGAAGACAACUAGCACAAUAGGUAUAAUUGAUAUAUUUCACUGCAGUUAGUGGUUCAAUAUUGAAGAACAAGCGUUAACUUAUGCUGCAGUGAAAACUAAAGAAGAUGCCAACCCCAGCAGAGGUGGUGAGGGAGAAAAAGCACUUCCAGCAGCUUUCAGAUUUUGUAAUGCGUCACAACCGGUGGCUCUUUAUUGGGGUCCCCUCCUUUCUCCAGGUACAGGUCAUUGAAGGGAUACUGCUUCGGUCCCACAGGCCUGUAAGAUGGAUAGAUCUCUCCAAGAACAAACAUGACCAGCAUGGUACCCAAAAAAAUCAGGAAGUGGUUGCGCAUAGUAUGCCACGGAACUGGAGUGGGGGAUGUAUCAACACGGUUCCGAAUAUACAUGUCAAAGUCCCAGUGCAUCGGCUCUCCCCAGUUGCGCCUCAUGUCUGGCUGGUCCCACUGGUACCAGGGGUCUCGCUCAUGUAUAGACUUAUUAGGGAGCAUGGGAUAAUCACCAUACCCGAAGCCGUCGUCAGGGUAAGGCUGGUAGUCCUCUACCCGCAUGUUGUACUUCUUGGCGGCCGCCGCCCGCUCCUCCGCCGUCCGUGGGUAGGGCCCAGGCAGCUGAUCCUUGGUCAGACCCGAAGCCGCCCGUGCCCCCGGAGGCGCCGCCGCGGCGGCCCGCGCCGCCCACAGCCAGCCUGCCGCCUGCCGCCAGAGGACACCGCCGCGCCCGACCGCCGCCAUCGCCCCGCCGCGCAGGCGCCGCCGACGGUAGCUGGCA
Molecule: long non-coding RNA, 1263 nt
Filed under: Gallus gallus (chicken)
Lineage: Eukaryota; Metazoa; Chordata; Aves; Galliformes; Phasianidae
Source: RNAcentral